RNAcentral lists this transfer RNA (61 nucleotides) under Blattisocius keegani. RNAcentral's name for it is "tRNA-Trp". The record is from RNAcentral. Lineage: Eukaryota; Metazoa; Arthropoda; Arachnida; Mesostigmata; Blattisociidae.
AAGAUUUUAAGUUAAUUAAACUAUUUGUCUUCAAAACAAAAAAUAUGAUAAAUAAAUCUUU